AUUUGAUGUGCCCUGGGGUGCUUUGAAGAACAGAUGUUGGAUUCAAAUUUUAAUCCAAAUCCAAAGAACAUAUACAAGAUCUGCCAUGCAUACCUGGAUGAGGCUGGCUGUUCUGGAUUUACCGUCUGUACCAGAUCUGAGACUGGUCAGCACACUGCCUGCAAAAAAUCAAAGCCUUGAUGUUCCAGGUUCUGGAUUGGUCUGGAACAAUAUUGAAUGCAUGAAGGUCAACAUAAUUUGAAGUGCUGAGAAACUAUGGAGUAAAAUCUAUCUUACUUCACCUGACAGCUGUUGAGAGACAUGGUAUGCUGGAUGGAAUAUAGCCUGACUGCAUAUUAGUUCCUGUUACUGCAAUUCUGAAUUGAAAAGAUAAGGUAAAUAAGAUACUAGAUUUCUCAACAACAAACUUUAUAUAAUGUUACACAUUUUGAUAUAUUUUCCAUCCAUUCAUAUAAGGUUUUUUUCUGUUGUUGUUG
Molecule: long non-coding RNA, 476 nt
Filed under: Numida meleagris (helmeted guineafowl)
Lineage: Eukaryota; Metazoa; Chordata; Aves; Galliformes; Numididae
Description: lncRNA (ENSNMEG00000009310.1)
Source: RNAcentral